Molecule: non-coding RNA, 23 nt
Filed under: Arabidopsis thaliana (thale cress)
Lineage: Eukaryota; Viridiplantae; Streptophyta; Magnoliopsida; Brassicales; Brassicaceae
Source: RNAcentral
AUGGAUGGAAAUUGUGUUGAUGC